ACAGCAGAUGACAUAGAAGGACCCAGGGCUCAGAACAGGAUAUGUAGCCAAUGAUGCAGGAAGGAGAAAGAACAGAUAGGAAUACAGGAGCUCUAACAUAACAGAGCUGGGGCUGGAGAGAUGGCUCAGUGGUUAAAAGCACUGGUUGCUCUUCCAGAGGACCUGGGCUCAAUCCCCAUCACCCACAUGGUAGCUCACAACUGUCUGCUGACACCCUCACAUAGACAUACAUGAAAGCAAAACACCAAUGAAUACAAAAUAAAAAAUUAUUAAAAAUAAAACAACAAUAACAGGGCUUUACUGAACAGUGUUGGCACAUGCCUUUAAUCCCACUGCUCAGGAGGCAGAGGCAGGCAGAUCCCUGAGUUCAAAGCCAGCCUCUAACUUCUUUUUUUGUUGUUGGCUUUGCUUGUUUGUUUGUUUGUUUUGUUUUGUUUGUUUUUUCUAGAUAGGGUUUCUCUGUGUAGCCUUGUCUUUGACUCACUUUCUAGACCAGGCUGGCCUCGAACUCAAGGAAAUCAGCCUGCCUCUGCCUCUCAGAGUGCUGGGAUUACGGACGAGCUCUACCGUACCUGGCUGUCAGCCUGUAAUUUCAAUAUGCAGGAUACUGGCAGAAGGAUUACCAUCAGUUUGAGUCCAGCCUAGAGUGAGACCCUGUCUCAAGAACACACACACACACACACCAGCGCAGUGCUUCAGGUAUCAUAGAAAGACUGGAUUGAGUAAGGAGAGAAUUUCCUGCAUCAGGCACUGGGCCUCUGGUGACCACUGCUGGAGCAAGUCUUUGGAGAGGAAGAUCUAAAUGCUUUGCCAUCCAGCAUGGAUAAAAAGGGCACAAUGUAGGGAAAAUGGCAGCCACUGGAGUCUAGAAACACGGGAGACAGAAGGUUUGCACCCAUGAAUUACUUGGGGACAUUUGGACAGGAGGCAAUGAGGGACAUAUUGAAGCCUGAUGAGAGGUGAGUGGAGGGCUUGCCCAGCAUGCAUAGAGCCCUGGGGUCCAGCCCCAGCACAUAUGUACUCCUAGCAUUCAGUAGGUAGAGACAGAAGGAUAGCGAGCUCGGGGUCAUCCUUGGUGACAUAGUGAGUUUGAGUCCAGCCUGGGCUACGUGAGACACUGUCUCAAAGCAGAAAGUUUAGUGAAGGCCCGUGAUUGUGGCUUCCGCCUCCCAAGUGUCUCUUACCUCCGGUCAAUAAACCUUUGCCUGGUCCUGAGACCACAGCCUGCUCCCAGUCAGAGUCAUGUGACUCUGGCAUGGGUAAUCAGCAGAUUCUAAUCCCUGCACACAAAGGCUCAUGAAAGACCAUGUAACAAAGUCCUGCCCCAAGGACUGCCACAUUGGUCAUAAUGGAAACCUAGAGUUAUUUUUGUCAUCGGUUAAAGGGGAACAACCCAGGAGUGUACACACACACACACACACACACACACAUCUUUUCAUUUCUAUUAUCUGGAACUAGGUUACAUAAAGUACACUCCAUACUAUUUACCAUAUAAUGUACUUUGAGCAUUUUCUCCUCUCCCAGUCAUCCCUGAUCCUCCCCCAUCACUAGUGCUGUUUGUUCCCCAAACACUGUCACUUCUGCUUCCACGUCAUGUAAGCGCACACGAGUUGUUGUUCCUGCAUAAGAUUCUAGGUUCCAUAGCCCAGCUCAGUGGAGCAGGCCUGUAAUCCCAGUACUCAGGGAGGCAGAGGCAGGUGGAUCUCUGUGAGUUCCAGGACAGCCUGGCCUACGAAGUGAGUCCAGGACAGCCAAGGCUACACAGAGAAUCCCUGUCUCAGAAAAAAGAAAGAAAGAAAGAAAGAAAGAAAGAAAGAAAGAAAGAAAGAAAGAAAGAAAGAAAGAAAGAGAAAGAAAGAAAGAAAUCCCAGGUUCUAAUGAUAGACAAAUGCAGUAUUUGUCUUACUGAGACAUCAUUUUGUACUUUAUGGCUAAUUUCAUUUUGUACCUGUGUCACUUUUUAAAAACCCAUUCCUCUGCUGAAAGACACCCAAGGUGGCCCCACAACUGAGCUGUCUUGAGUAGAGUGGCAGUGAACUCUGCUGAGGAGGGACUGGUGACAUGCCGACUCCGAGUCCUUUGGGUAAACAGGAGUGCCAGGGCAGGGUCUAUUUCUUUACUUUGGUGUGAGCUCUUUAGAAGAGACGUCUUCUCUUUAAUCACGGGUCUGUGUGAGUGGCGGUGCUCUCAGUGUGGAAGGGCCGCCGAUCCCCUGGAGCUGGAAGCACUGGUUGUGAACCACCUAAAAUGUGGAUACUGUGAACUGAACUGAAGUUGACUGCUCUUCUAAGAGAGACGGCUCACCGGCCAAGAGUCCCGGCUGCUUGGCCACAGAACCUGGUUUAAUUUCCAGCACCCACGUGGCAGCUCACACCUGCUUGUAACUCCAGCUCCAGGGCUUCUGACACUCUCAGACAUACAUACAGGCAUGUAUAUCUCCAAACAUCUCUGACGUGUCUCUAUGUUAGUGUUUUGAGAGAGGAUCUCUUACAGCCCAGGCUGGUCUUAAAAUGGUUAUGUAGCUGAGGAUGACCUUGAACUCCUGAACCUUCUGGCUCUACCUCCAAAAUUCUGGGAUUAUGGACCUUUGCUAUCCCAACCCCAUGUUUGUUUUAAUGACAUUUCUUCAAUGUGUGUUCAGUGUGUUCUGCAGCACUCUGUGCUGAAGUCAAAGGACAACCUUUAGGAAUAUUUCUCCCGCUAACUGGGGCCUCAAAGUUGGGUGUCAGGCUAGCGGACAAGCACCGUUCACCAGCUGAGCCCUCUGCUUGCCUGAGCUGUUUGUGGUUGUUUUUGAGACAGGCUUUCACUAUGUAGUCCUGGCUGUCCUGAAACUCACUCUAUAGACCGGGAUGGUCUCGGACUCACAGAGAUCCACCUUCCCGAGUGCUGGGAUUAAAGGUGAACUGUAUUUCAACACAGCUGUUUUUAAACAACAACAAUAUGGGAGCUAGGCAUUGUGGUACAUGCUUGGAAUUCCAGCACUUGGGAGGCCAAGGCUGUAGGAUCUCAAGCCCAUGGCCAGCUUGAGCUGCAUAAUGGAUCCUACCUCAAGCAAAACAAACCACAACCUGGAGCCAGGCAUGGCGGCACAGGAGCAGAGACAGCCAAGGCUGGACUUGUUCCUCCCAAUGAAUCUCUUUUUACGAGAUCUUCUGCCUGGUGUGACUCUCUCAUCAGAAGAGGGCAAGAAGCAAAGAAUGGAAGAAGUGAAGAAGUGGAGCAGGGUUGAGGCUCCUGCGCUGCUCAGCUCUGCUGGGGACACCUUCCCCUGGGAGAGGCAACUGCUGAAGAGGAGCCGUGAAAUGGAAUUGUUGCACUGUAGUAGUACAACUCAGCCAGGGAUGUCCUCCCGCAGAGGCUUCCUCUCAGAGCUGUGUGGUUCCUGGGCUUCCGAAUCUCAGCAUACCUUUCCAUCCAAGCAGGAAUGCCAAUAACAUUCCAUCUGGCAUCAUGGCGCAUGCCUUUGAUCCAAGCACUGGAGAGGCAGAGGCAGGUGGAUCUCUGAGUUUGAGGCCAGCCUGGUCUACAGAUGAGUUCCAAGACAGGCAGAGCUACACAGAGAAACCCUGUCUCAACAAACUAACAAAACAAAACCCUCAAAACCAAACAAGACAAACUCAACCAGUAAGACAGUGGCUGUGCCCUUGCACACCAAAUCUGGCCUUGGCCAGGUUUGCUUUAGUCAAUUUGAUUUUAGAAAAAUUGAGAGAUGGAAAAGCCCUGUGAAGCUCUGUUGCUAUUCAGAAGCAGUGGGCCCCCACCCCAUCUGCCUGCACAGGCCAAUCUGCUGGUUAGAGACCACCCCUCCCCCAUUGUCACUGUAAAUCCAGCUGGCACUCAUCCCACUGCUAGGUAUGUCAGUGAUGCCUUUUUAGACCAUGUAACCCGAGGGUGGCAGUCAGAACAGGAGGCCUGUUAGCCUACAGAGAGCCACUUACCUUUGUGACAAUCCCAGGAAUUUCUGAAUGGCUCGCCAGGAAACCGUGACCAGGGGUGAAUAUCUGUAUUACAAGUCUGCCAAAGGCAAGCCACGCCUGGCCUCUACCCAAGGCUGCCAGGAGCACCCCCUCCUUACCACAGACAAAGCUGUCUGCAGACAUAGCCACAGGGC
Long non-coding RNA from Meriones unguiculatus (Mongolian gerbil), 4114 nucleotides. RefSeq lists it as uncharacterized. The transcript has 3 exons. Lineage: Eukaryota; Metazoa; Chordata; Mammalia; Rodentia; Muridae. The record is from RefSeq and is a predicted model, not a curated record.